Molecule: long non-coding RNA, 1944 nt
Organism: Triticum dicoccoides
Lineage: Eukaryota; Viridiplantae; Streptophyta; Magnoliopsida; Poales; Poaceae
Exons: 4
Source: RefSeq, a predicted model, not a curated record
CCUACCCCGCCCCCAACCAGCACCUCCGCCGCCGCCCCGCCCCCAACCGGCGCCGCCGCCCUCGCCCCGCCCCCAGCGGACGUCGCCUCCUCCCCGACCACCGGAUCCGCCGCCACCCACGGUGUCCAACUCCCCCGCAAGGGAUCCGCUGGGGAGCACGGCAGCCUGAUCCCGUGCCACGGCCAGCCACCUCCCACUUCGCCCACCACUGUGGCAGCCGCCGGCGGCCUUCCAUCCGCGCUGGAGCUGCGCCCGCCUGGAUCCGACCCCUGACAGCCGCCCCCGGCGCUGCCCCAUGCCUGGGUUCGGCCGCCGCGUCGCCCCGCGCCUGGAUCCGACCGCUGCGCCGCACCCGCCCCUCGAUCCGGCCACCGUCAGCACCCCCGUCCCUGCACACGAGCGCUGGCGUCCACCGCCAGCCCCCAAGCGCGCCACCCAGGGCCCCCAUCCCCAGACACCGUCCUUCGUAGUUGGCGCACCAUGGACGUCUUCCUCUUCUGCCUAGAACUUCUUCGUCGUUGGUGCUUGCGUGCGCACGACAGCCACAUGUGGUGUGGGGAGAAGCCAGCUAAAAGAAGAGAACACUUUCUUCACAUGCGUGUGCACGCAAGAUAGGCACAGAGAAGUUUGGAGCCGCCGACCCCAACAGCGGAACAGCAGCUAUGAUCGAGGUUGUUAACUUCACUCCCUGUCCAUCUAGUUAGCGCAAAGGUUUUCUGUGCUGCAAAAGCAAGGAUGGAGGCCUCGAAGGAUCAUCAUUUUCUGUAGCUGGGAUGCAGAAGAGUACGGAUUGACAGGAUCAAAUGAAUGGGUUGAAGAAAACAGGGAGAUGCUUUCUUCAAGGGGUGUUGCAUAUCUGAAUAUCGAUUUUCAGUAGUCGGUCCGGUUUUACUCCCUCUAGAGCUCCCCAACUUGAUGGACUACUAUUGGAAAACAAUUAAACUGAUCAUUUCUUUUUAGGUCAUCCCAGUCCAGCCUUGCAGUGGGUAGGAAGGUCGAGCCCAUCGCAAGCUGCAGUCCACGGUAGUCACCCGGUCCCGCCUCCUUCAUCACCAUGCUUGUGGUAGGUGACCUCAUUGAUGUCUGAAGUUGCUCCUUCCCGCUGUCAUUAAACUGAAUCCAGAUCAAAGCAUUGAUCCCUCCCCCUGUCCAGUCUUGUAUUUGUUCUGUAAGUGAUUUUGAUUGAUGUCUAUAUCUGUAGGUGCAAAACACUUGUGCUUUUGGUGGUGUGUGGUGGAAAUAAACUACAGAUUUUGGUCAACAGGAUUUUUUUUUCUCUAGCACUCUCUCUAACUCGCUUAGCCAAAGCAUGGUUGUGCUUGCUUAUGUGGUUUUUACCAUGAACACAGACUUCAAUGACACAGAAAACAGGUUAAAGAUGGAGCUUGAGCGACUGUGAUGUCCAACUUCAGCGUGUAGCACGGCGCGACUGCGCCUCCCCAAUAUCCUAUCUGUGAACUUUUUUUAUCUCUAAUGUGCUGGACUUGUUACAAUUCUAAGAUUGCGGCUGAAUCGGUUGAUUUUAUGUUCCUCUUCAACAGAUCAGAAGUUCAGGUUGUUCUGGUAGCGCGGGCGAACAUGCACCCUCCACUCUGUUGUGCGUGAGAAGGCACAUGGGUAAGUGGCCUAGGCAGAGAUUGAGAUGCAUUGAACUUCUUCGACUAGGUCAUGGUGGAGCAUCCCCUGCUCUAGUUCUCUCAUUGGCUCGGCCUGUUCUUGGUGGAAUUGGUCAACGGGGAACAACAGGUCGGCUUGUAUGCGGCUAAUGAUAGUUCAGUUACAGGGAAAACAACAAGUCGGAUUGUGCGCGGCCUACUAAUAGAGUAAAAUUGCUGCUGCUGCUGCGUUAAAGAUGGUCCCAAAUGAAGCACGAUCUAGCCGCUGUACUACUUGUUCUACUGUACAUUGUGCCUUUUGUUUGGUGGAUCAGCUACUGUUUUGCUA